UGUUUGAUGUUCUAACGUGGACCCGUGAUCCGGGUUGCGGACAGUGUCUGGUGGGUAGUUUGACUGGGGCGGUCUCCUCCUAAAGAGUAACGGAGGAGCACGAAGGUUGGCUAAUCCUGGUCGGACAUCAGGAGGUUAGUGCAAUGGCAUAAGCCAGCUUGACUGCGAGCGUGACGGCGCGAGCAGGUGCGAAAGCAGGUCAUAGUGAUCCGGUGGUUCUGAAUGGAAGGGCCAUCGCUCAACGGAUAAAAGGUACUCCGGGGAUAACAGGCUGAUACCGCCCAAGAGUUCAUAUCGACGGCGGUGUUUGGCACCUCGAUGUCGGCUCAUCACAUCCUGGGGCUGAAGUAGGUCCCAAGGGUAUGGCUGUUCGCCAUUUAAAGUGGUACGCGAGCUGGGUUUAGAACGUCGUGAGACAGUUCGGUCCCUAUCUGCCGUGGGCGCUGGAGAACUGAGGGGGGCUGCUCCUAGUACGAGAGGACCGGAGUGGACGCAUCACUGGUGUUCGGGUUGUCAUGCCAAUGGCACUGCCCGGUAGCUAAAUGCGGAAGAGAUAAGUGCUGAAAGCAUCUAAGCACGAAAC
This 583-nucleotide ribosomal RNA is filed under the name Salmonella enterica. Its description in RNAcentral is "partial 23S ribosomal RNA". It matches the Rfam family "Bacterial large subunit ribosomal RNA", at positions 2211 to 2793 of the family's 2925-position model. Lineage: Bacteria; Pseudomonadati; Pseudomonadota; Gammaproteobacteria; Enterobacterales; Enterobacteriaceae. The record is from RNAcentral.